This 497-nucleotide ribosomal RNA is filed under the name uncultured bacterium. RNAcentral's name for it is "bacterial SSU rRNA". It matches the Rfam family "Bacterial small subunit ribosomal RNA", at positions 8 to 518 of the family's 1533-position model. The record is from RNAcentral.
AGAGUUUGAUCCUGGCUCAGGACGAACGCUGGUGGCGUGCUUAACACAUGCAAGUCGAGCGAUGAAGCUUCUCGGGAGUGGAUUAGCGGCGGACGGGUGAGUAACACGUGGGUAACCUGCCUCAUAGAGGGGAAUAGCCUUUCGAAAGGAAGAUUAAUACCGCAUAAGAUUGUAGUACCGCAUGGUACAGCAAUUAAAGGAGUAAUCCGCUAUGAGAUGGACCCGCGUCGCAUUAGCUAGUUGGUGAGGUAACGGCUCACCAAGGCGACGAUGCGUAGCCGACCUGAGAGGGUGAUCGGCCACAUUGGGACGGAGACACGGCCCAGACUCCUACGGGAGGCAGCAGUGGGGAAUAUUGCACAAUGGGGGGAAAAACCCCCUGAUGCAGCAACGCCGCGUGAGUGAUGACGGCCUUCGGGUUGUAAAACUCUGUCUUUGGGGACGAUAAUGACGGUACCCAAGGAGGAAGCCACGGCUAACUACGUGCCAGCCGCCGC